CGAAGCCAGACGGCACCCCGGUUGAGAAAGGCUGGUUUAUGAUAUGCAGAUGCCGGUUUGUUAAUGAGGAAGCAGACUCUUCCAAACAAAGGAAAUUUAGACUGGACUUUCGUUCCUCCUCCUCCUGCAGACGCUUUGCCACCCGAAGGUCUUGCUGUACAAGUCG
Molecule: long non-coding RNA, 166 nt
Organism: Trichomycterus rosablanca
Lineage: Eukaryota; Metazoa; Chordata; Actinopteri; Siluriformes; Trichomycteridae
Exons: 3
Source: RefSeq, a predicted model, not a curated record